GACGAACGCUGGCGGCGUGCUUAACACAUGCAAGUCGAACGGAAAGGCCCUGCUCUUGUGGGGUGCUCGAGUGGCGAACGGGUGAGUAACACGCGAGUAACCUGCCCUUGACUUUGGGAUAACUUCAGGAAACUGGGGCUAAUACCGGAUAGGAGCUCCUGCUGCAUGGUGUGGGUUGGAAAGUUUCGGCGGUUGGGGAUGGACUCGCGGCUUAUCAGCUUGUUGGUGGGGUAGUGGCUUACCAAGGCUUUGACGGGUAGCCGGCCUGAGAGGGUGACCGGCCACAUUGGGACUGAGAUACGGCCCAGACUCCUACGGGAGGCAGCAGUGGGGAGUAUUGCACAAUGGGCGGAAGCCUGAUGCAGCAACGCCGCGUGCGGGAUGACGGCCUUCGGGUUGUAAACCGCUUUCGACUGUGACGAAGCGUGAGUGACGGUAAUGGGUAAAGAAGCACCGGCUAACUACGUG
Molecule: ribosomal RNA, 468 nt
Filed under: uncultured bacterium
Lineage: Bacteria
Description: partial 16S ribosomal RNA
Rfam family: Bacterial small subunit ribosomal RNA
Source: RNAcentral